AUUUAAAUAGCUUAUAUUUAGAGCAUAGCAUUGAAGAUGCUAAGGUAAUUUUAUAUUUUUAGAUA
RNAcentral lists this transfer RNA (65 nucleotides) under Hylobitelus xiaoi. Its description in RNAcentral is "tRNA-Phe". It matches the Rfam family "tRNA". From Rfam's summary of the family: Transfer RNA (tRNA) molecules are approximately 80 nucleotides in length. Their secondary structure includes four short double-helical elements and three loops (D, anti-codon, and T loops). Lineage: Eukaryota; Metazoa; Arthropoda; Insecta; Coleoptera; Curculionidae. The record is from RNAcentral.